AGCCGGGUAUGGGUUUAUUUUAUUUUUUUUAACCAGGUUGCCAUUAUGAAGAAAUUGCUGUGCUCAUCAAGUUACUUUGAACCAAGCUGUUCUUUACCAAAUGCCCUGAAGUCAUUGGAAAGUCACACGACCUUGCUUUAAAGUGAAGACUUAGAAUUGUUUCUCUGAAGAUGAGGGAGGUGCACGAAGGAUGUCAGGCCUGUCUCACAGAGCUAAUUCCCAAAACUUCUGUGUAUUUGUGGCAGCCGUGUGUAUGCUAUUGAGAACUGGACGGGAGUGAAAGAGAGUGAUGAAGACAACAGUCUAUACAGCAUCUCCUAUUACCUGUUAGCUCAAUGCUUCAUGUGCAUUACCUCACUGAAUUCUCGCAACAGCCCAAAAAGGUCAUAAUCAUCUGGAGAGACACAUUGGCAGAGAGACUACCUUAAUACAAUGGGCCAGGGUUAAGCUUCAGCGUGCAAAGUGAAAGGCCACACAAAUCUUUGUCCGUAACAAAUGCCCAGUGGACAGGACACUCGGGUGCCCUGAGGCUGCAGGAGCUGAGGGUGAUCUUGCUCAGGUACUUCUGCUGGUACCUGCUGUAUGGGAAAAAGUCUGUUCCUCCUGGCUGGUGUCAGAAGUAACCAGGCUGAAGCCAUGCUCUGAAAGAACCUGUGCAGGGAGAGAAAGACCUGUUUGAGACCGACCUGAAAGCUCUCCGAGGGGAAAGAGCAGGGGGUUCCAAUGAUUCCUGUAGUUUACUGAGCUCUUGAAAAGAAGCAACCGUUUUUCCUGACCUUGACACUCAAGCAUUUUUGAUGGUUCUAGAAGUACCCAUUUUCAGGUAUUAAAUACCUUUCUGUUUGAGAUACAUGAUUGUUUUCUAUUUUCCUGAAAGAAUCCUGACUGAUACAGUAUUUGGUACUGAAAGUGGUUCCAGGAAAUACAACUGCAAAGAUGGAGGGAAAUCUAAGAUGUGUUGUUAGGCAUGGAUUAGCUUGAAGCCAAUAAUGACCUCCUGGCUAGUGGAAAAUGGGUUUCUGGUAGUCCAUGGCAUGCAAUGUCUUAAGUUAUGGCCUGUCAUUCAUGGAAUCAAUUGCCUGUUAAAAGACACCAAGCACCUUUUUGAUAGAAUACUCUGGUGGAAGAGAUAAGUACAAGGGUUAAAGUCACUGAAUGCAAUGGAAAAUUUACAGAAAAAAUACAGAACAAAAUACCCCAACAAUCUCAGGGCUUUAAAAUUUCAACUCAGAGGUAUAACUCAAAAGCACUGGAGAAGCAUCAAAGAAGCUUCUACAACUGCCCCUGAAAGAAUCUCUUAUCGUAGCAGAAAUUGAACCCAGGGUUGUUCCUACAAGGUGGC
Molecule: long non-coding RNA, 1342 nt
Filed under: Pan troglodytes (chimpanzee)
Lineage: Eukaryota; Metazoa; Chordata; Mammalia; Primates; Hominidae
Description: long non-coding RNA NONPTRT017333
Source: RNAcentral